CGUCGUCCUGGGCCGCAAGCGUUCCCGGAAGUAUCGCGAUGUUGCGUCUCUAGGUUUAGAAACUGUGCUAGUCCACUGCUUAAUAUCUAUGGUGGAAAACGCCAUAUUUUCGAAAUGGCAUAUCUCGAGUUCAAGUUUGAGGACGAAAUAACUAAAUACAUUCGGGAACAAGAAUUGGAAACGUCACUGAAAUUCAUAACAUUGAGAAGGGACAAAAGUUUUGGGCAAAAGGAUGCACAGCCUUUGGCACGGAAAAACUCAGCUGGGAGAGUAAAAGUAUCCCGUUCAAUGGUGUUCCGUUUCAAGUUGUUGGCACAAAGACGUAUGAAUGCCACCAGGGCAAAGACAGACAGACAAAAGCCAAAGAGAAAUAUGCUGCUGAAAGAGACAAGAAGGAACUUGAAGACCAUACCUUCCUACAGAAACGGAAACUGGUACAAAAUACCAAAAAGGUGGACUGCAAGGCUAUAAUAAACAUCGCCCACGUUAUCCGCUUUCCUGAUUUUAAGAUUGAGGAAAGUACAGUGUGCUCUAAAAAGGAGGCCUCCCAAACUCUGAAGGCAGCACUAAGUGAAACACCCAGCUCCGUGAAGGCAGAGGUUGUCUACUGCGUUAGGUUCCCCUCCCUCUCUGAGCACAGCUCACAUGCAGUUGUUGGCGAGGCAGCUCAUGUUAGGGAAGCUGUAGAUGCCAGGCUGAGAGAGAAGAUUGAGCAGCUGACUCUGUCUGGUGUGAGAAAGAUGACUGAAAUGAAGUGUCAUCUGAACACCUUUGUAGUGGAAGAGCUUUUCCUUGGAGAGCAGCCCCUCCACCUACUCGCAGGCGCUAUUACCCCACUGACAGUGACAUAAGAAAUGUCAUGUUUAAGACCAAGCGGGCCACCGGAGACUCCAACAUUGACCGUCCAUACGAAGGUCCAUCUGGCAGAGGAAAGAAGAGGUCCUCUAGGAAGCUGUUGCGGUUACGGAGGCAAUGUGCAGGAUAUCUUAAAGAGAUCACAGAACUCACUUAUCAUCUGGAAGAGGAACAGUACGUGACUGACCUGUCUUCACAGCUCAGAAGCGUGUUGCUGGAUAUGAAGGCCCAUGUUCCACAGGAUAAAGACCUUCCACUGACCUUUUCUCCAAGGAAGAGAAAAGCUGAGAUGGACAUGGAUCUCAUUCCAACCAAGAGUGCAUCACACCCUUUCAUAGAUGGGUUAGAACAGCACACAGAGGACAUAGUGAGUGUGGAUACAUUGUUGGCAUUGAGCCUCGGGCUGAGGACCGAGUGUGUGGGUCCUUCCACAAAUUGAGUAUAUUUUGGGUAGUGUAACUUUUAUUUCAACUAAUAUUAGCAUUUUGUCAACACAACUUGAUAAGAAGGGGGGGGGAUCAAGAGGGGAGAGCAUUCUUAGUUUUGAAUGUUGUUCUGGAGGCAGCGCUGCGGAGUGCUCACUAGCUGGCACAGUCAUAAAAUCUGAUUUUAAACCUAAUUGUUUACCACACUGCUAACCCUCAUUUCUAACCUUAAAUUUGCUUUUUGAUCUUAAUUUGUGUUUGUUUGAUUUUUGUCGACAUACAGUGUGUUCGGAAAGUUCAGACACCUUCCCCUCUUAUCCACAUUUUGUUACGUUAAACCUAAUUCUAGAAUGGAUUCAUUUGUUAUUUUUCUCAUUAAUCUACACACAAUACCCCAUGAUGACAUCACAAUACCCCAUGAUGACAUCACAAUACCCCAUGAUGACAUCACAAUACCCCAUGAUGACAUCACAAUACCCCAUGCUGACUAAGCAAAAACAGGUCUAGAAAUGUUAGCAAUUAUUUUAAUUUUGUUAAUAAAAAUGAAAUAUUACAUUUACAUAAGUAUUCAGACCCUUUACUCAGUACUUUGUUGAAGCACCUUUGGCAGCGAUUACAGCCUGGAGUCUUCUUGUGUAUGACGCCAUAAGCUUGGCACACCUGUAUUUGGGCUUUUUCUCCCAUUAUUCUCUGCAGAACCUGUCAAGCUCUGUCAGGUUUGAUGGGGAGCGUCGCUGCACAGCUAUUUUCAGGGCUCUCCAGAGAUGUUUGAUUGGGUUCAAGUCCGGGCUCUGGCUGGGCCACUCAAGGACAUUCGGAGACUUGUCCUGAAGCCACUCCUAUGUUGUCUUGGAUGUGUGCUUAGGGUCGUUCUCCUGUUGGAAGGUGAACCUUCGCUCCAGUCUGAGGUCCUGAGCGCUCUAGAGCAGGUUUUCACCAAGGAUCAAAUCAAAUUUAUUUAUAUAGCCCUUCGUACAUCAGCUGAUAUCUCAAAGUGCUGUACAGAAACCCAGCCGAAAACCCCAAACAGCAAGCAAUGCAGGUGUUGAAGCACGUUGGCUAGGAAAAACUCCCUAGAAAGGAUCUCUCUGUACUUUCGCUCAGUUCAUCUUUCCCUCGAUCCUGACUUGUCUCCUAGUCCCUGCCUCUGGAAAAACAUCUCCACAGCAUGAUGCUGCCACCACCAUACUUCACUGUAGGAAUGGUGCCAGGUUUCUUCCAGGUGUGGUGCUUGGCAUUCAGGCCAAAGACUUCAAUCUUGUUUCAUCAGACCAGAGCAUCUUGUUUCUCAUGGUCUGAGAGUCCUUUAGGUGCUCUUUGGCAAACUCCAAGCGGGCUGUCAUGAGCCUUUCACUGAGGAGUGGCUUCCAUCUGGCCACUACCAUAAAGGCCUGAUUGGCGGAGUGCUGCAGAGAUGGUUGUCCUUCUGGAAGGUUCUCCCAUCUCCACAGAGAAACUCUGGAGCUCUGUCAGAGUGACCAUCAGGUUCUUAAUCACCUCCCUGACCAAGGCCCUUCUCUCCCGAUUUCUCAGUUUGGCCGGGCGGCCAACUCUAGGAAGAGUGUUGUUGGUUCCAAAUUUCUCCCAUUUUAAGAAUAAUGGAGGCCACUGUUUUCUUGGGGACCUUCAAUGCUGCCAACAUUUUUUAGUACCCUUCCCCAGAUCUGUGCCUCGACAAAAUCAUGUCUCGGCGCUCUACAGACAAUUCCUUCAACCUCAUGGCUUGGUUUUUGCUCUGACAUGCACUGUCAACUGUAGGACCUUAUAUAGACAGGUGUGUGCUUUUCCAAAUAAUGUCCAAUCAACUGAAUUUACCACAGCUGGCCUCCAAUAAAGUUGUAGAAUGGAAACAGGAUGCACCUGAGCUCAAUUUUGAGACUCAUAGCGAAGGGUUAGAAUAUUUAUUUUUUGCCAACAUUUCUAAAAACCUGUUUUCGCUUUGUCAUUUUGUGUUAUUGUGUGUAGAUUGAAGAGGAACAAUUAUUUUGUCAAUUUUAGAGUAAGGCUGUAAUGUAACAACAUAAACAACAAAAAGUGAAGGGGUAUGAAUACUUUACGAAUUCACUGUAGCCAAUUUGCAGCUGAUCUAUCGAAGGGGAAACGGCUCUGUUUUGCCUCCAGGACAAGAAUCAUGACAAGCGUCAACCUGCUAUCUGAGGUUGGGAGGGGUCUGAAAUAUUGCCUAGCUGGCUAGCCCACCUUUUAACUCAAACGUUUUUGAAUGUGCUUAAUCAGUUUGUAUCAAAUGUGUUCAUAUGCAGCAGUCUUAACCAUUAGCACAUCCUGUACUGGAUCAAUGUCAUGGCUCUUCUUUUUUGGUGGGGGGGGGGUAUAGUUUUGCUGGCACAGAGCUGGGGAGUUUUGUUUUACGAUCCCCAGUGUCGUUCUGAAAAGGACGGAAGGAAAUAUACAAAAAAGGCCUGACUGAGACUGAAAAGUGAGUUGGUUCGGACGAAAACGAGGCGGCGAGGGGGACGUUCUGUUUCAGUUCAGAGGGAUUGGAGAGUGGGAACAGUCCGGGGCCAAAGGGAGUGUGAGCAGAGCAUGUUGAGCUUCUGAUACAUACCUUUGUUAGGUCCAGGAUGGGACUUGAGGGGUGCAUUAGUUGGGGUUGGGCCUUUUUGCUCUGCUCACGGCCUGGGCAUACAUUACUGUUCGAAAGUUUUUGGGGUCACAAAAAAAAAAGUGAGUUGGUUAGGAUGAAAACAAGGCAGCGAGGGUGAUGUUCUGUUUCAGUUCAGAGGGAUUGGAGAGUAGGAACAGCCUGGGUAACGGCCUGGGUAACGGCCUGGGUAACGGCCUGGGUAACGGCCUGGGUAACGGCCUGGGUAACGGCCUGGGGUAACGGCCUGGGGUAACAGCCUGGGGUAACAGCCUGGGGUAACAGCCUGGGGUAACAGCCUGGGGUAACAGCCCGGGGUAACAGCCCGGGGUAACAGCCCGGGGCCAAAGGGAGUCAUCCAGAACGGUUGUAAAUGUGGGCACGUCCAUAACACGUGAACCAAGGUGCCUCUGUCCAGGAUGCAUCCCCAGCAGUCAGGGGAGGCCAGUAGAACCCGUGGAUGGUUGUCACGGAGAUAGCCUUGACCGCAGCUCUCUUGCAACGGUCUUCGUGUCUUAUUGGACCUCAGUAUGUUUUGCCAUUCUGGUUCGAUUCCAGCCUGUAUCACAGCGGUCUAAGGCACUGCAUCUCAGUGCUUGAGGAGUCACUACAGACACCCUGGUUCGAUUCCAGGCUGUAUCACAACUGGCUGUGAUUGAGAGUCCCAUAGGGCGGCGCACAAUUGGCCCAGCGUCGUCUGGGUUUGGCCGGGGUAGGCCGUCAUUGUAAAUAAGAAUUUGUUCUUCACUGACUUGCCUAGUUAAAUAAAGAUUAAAUAAAGUAUUUUCCCAUGCAAUCUGAUUGGAGACUUAAGGUUGAGUAGAGUAUAUUAUAAUAUGAGACCUUGUCUCUUUUCCCAUAGUGUUCAAUUAUCUUCAUAGGGAUAUCUGAUGAAACGGGUUGUCCAGACCCCAGGGAUAUCUGAUGAAACGGGUGGUCCAGACACCAGGGAUAUCUGAUGAAAUGGGUGGUCCAGACCCCAGGGAUAUCUGAUGAAACGGGUGGUGUAGACCCCAGGGCAUAGCAUGUGCCUUUAGCUGUAGGUGUUUCCAGAAGUACAGUGUCUCUGUGUGGACCGUAGCAGGGUUGAAGUUUUAUCUUAAAUCAGCCCAAAAAAAUCUGCCAAUUUCAAAAAGUUCUGUGAAACAGUAUUACAUGUAGAUUUUAAAAGUAAAAAUCUAAAAUCAAGAUGUCAAUUGUUUGUCUACAUGCAAUGUAAAAAAUAAUGUAGCUAUUGGAGUAAAGCUAUGAGUUAGGGCCAACAUCCAAAACCUUUUUCCCCUCAGGAGACUGAAAAGAUGUGGUUCUCAGAUCCUCAAAAGGUUUUACAGCUGCACCAUCGAGAGCAUCCUGACGGGUUGCAUCACUGCCUGGUACGGCAACUGCUCGGCCUCCGACUGCAAGGCACUACAGAGGGCAGUGCGUACGGCCCAGUACAUCACCGGGGCCAAGCUUCGUGCCAUCCAGGACCUCUAUACCAGGCGGUGUCAGAGGAAGGCCCUAAAAAAUUGUCAAAGACUCCAGCCACCCAAGUCAUAAACUUUUCUCUGUUCUCCGUUUGUCCAAGAGGCUUCAAAACAGCUUCUACCCUCAAGCCACAAGACUCCUGAACAGCUAAUCAAAUGGCUACCCAGACUAUUUGUACCCCCCCCCCCCCUGCUGCUACUCUCUGUUAUUAUUUAUGCAUAGCCACUUCAAUAUCCCUAUCUGCAUGUACAUAAUUACCUCAAUUACCUCGCUCCUGUGGCCCCUGCACAUUGACACAUUUGACUCAUUGACUGAACUGGUACCCCCUGUAUAUAGCCCCGCUAUUGUUUUUUACUGCUGCUCUUUAAUUAUUUGUUUUUCUUAAAACUGCAUUGUUGGUUAAGGGGCUUGUAAGUAAGCAUUUCACUGUGAGGUGUACACCUGUUUCAUUCAGCACGUGUGACUAAUAAAGUUAUAUUUGAUUUGAA
Oncorhynchus masou masou (cherry salmon) is the source of this 5837-nucleotide long non-coding RNA. RefSeq lists it as uncharacterized. The record is from RefSeq and is a predicted model, not a curated record. The transcript is spliced from 5 exons. NCBI's taxonomy places the organism in Eukaryota, Metazoa, Chordata, Actinopteri, Salmoniformes, Salmonidae.